This is a long non-coding RNA of Erinaceus europaeus (western European hedgehog), 452 nucleotides long. RefSeq lists it as uncharacterized. The transcript has 4 exons. Lineage: Eukaryota; Metazoa; Chordata; Mammalia; Eulipotyphla; Erinaceidae. The record is from RefSeq and is a predicted model, not a curated record.
ACCUUCCUCGGCUGCUGUCAUCGCCUGAGUAUCCACAUAUAGGACAGAGGACAGCUCAGGCUCCCCCAGAACCGCGCCAGGAGACUUUGCACAGAGCUGGGGGACUGGCACCUUGGAGCGCUUGUGCUGCCUGGAACAGAUGGUACAUCCUGGGCGCAGGGUGAUUUUGCUGAAACAGGACUAAGGAAGGAGGGUCACAAAGAGAGGAGAGAGACCAUAGUAACUUUUAUAUGUAUCAUCCAUGAUACACCUGUGUGGUCCUGGGGUUCAAACCCAAGACUUAAUGCAUAACAAGAGUGGAUUUAGAAGAGGAAGCAGAGCUCUCAGGUGGAAAGCUCAGAACUGUCGACAAAGUGAGUGUGAAACAUAAAUGUAUUACAUUAACCCAAAACCAGAUACCUUCCUAACUUGUCUUUUAAUUGGAUAAAAUAAAUGCUAACAACUAUUUCAAA